AACUUUCAACAACGGAUCUCUUGGUUCUCGCAUCGAUGAAGAGCGCAGCGAAAUGCGAUACCUAGUGUGAAUUGCAGCCAUCGUGAAUCAUCGAGUUCUUGAACGCACAUUGCGCCCCUCGGCAUUCCGGGGGGCAUGCCUGUUUGAGCGU
This 151-nucleotide ribosomal RNA is filed under the name Pichia kudriavzevii. RNAcentral describes it as "5.8S ribosomal RNA". It matches the Rfam family "5.8S ribosomal RNA". Rfam says of the family: 5.8S ribosomal RNA (5.8S rRNA) is a component of the large subunit of the eukaryotic ribosome. It is transcribed by RNA polymerase I as part of the 45S precursor that also contains 18S and 28S rRNA. The record is from RNAcentral. Lineage: Eukaryota; Fungi; Ascomycota; Pichiomycetes; Pichiales; Pichiaceae. RNAcentral also lists the same sequence under 2 other names.